GAUGAACGCUGGCGGCGUGCCUAAUACAUACAAGUCGAGCGAACGGACGAGAAGCUUGCUUCUCUGAUGCUAGCGGCGGACGGGUGAGUAACACGUGGAUAACCUACCUAUAAGACUGGGAUAACUUCGGGAAACCGGAGCUAAUACCGGAUAAUAUUUUGAACCGCAUGGUUCAAAAGUGAAAGACGGUCUUGCUGUCACUUAUAGAUGGAUCCGCGCUGCAUUAGCUAGUUGGUAAGGUAACGGCUUACCAAGGCAACGAUGCAUAGCCGACCUGAGAGGGUGAUCGGCCACACUGGAACUGAGACACGGUCCAGACUCCUACGGGAGGCAGCAGUAGGGAAUCUUCCGCAAUGGGCGAAAGCCUGACGGAGCAACGCCGCGUGAGUGAUGAAGGUCUUCGGAUCGUAAAACUCUGUUAUUAGGGAAGAACAUAUGUGUAAGUAACUGUGCACAUCUUGACGGUACCUAAUCAGAAAGCCACGGCUAACUACGUG
RNAcentral lists this ribosomal RNA (497 nucleotides) under uncultured bacterium. RNAcentral describes it as "partial 16S ribosomal RNA". It matches the Rfam family "Bacterial small subunit ribosomal RNA", at positions 28 to 507 of the family's 1533-position model. The record is from RNAcentral.